AGACCUGUAACUCAGUUGGUAGAGUGGCUGCCUUACAAGCAGCAAGUCAUCGGUUCGAGUCCGGUCAGGUCUA
This 73-nucleotide transfer RNA is filed under the name Pedinomonas minor. Its description in RNAcentral is "tRNA-Val". It matches the Rfam family "tRNA". Rfam says of the family: Transfer RNA (tRNA) molecules are approximately 80 nucleotides in length. Their secondary structure includes four short double-helical elements and three loops (D, anti-codon, and T loops). Further hydrogen bonds mediate the characteristic L-shaped molecular structure. tRNAs have two regions of fundamental functional importance: the anti-codon, which is responsible for specific mRNA codon recognition, and the 3' end, to which the tRNAs corresponding amino acid is attached (by aminoacyl-tRNA synthetases). tRNAs cope with the degeneracy of the genetic code in two manners: having more than one tRNA (with a specific anti-codon) for a particular amino acid; and 'wobble' base-pairing, i.e. permitting non-standard base-pairing at the 3rd anti-codon position. The record is from RNAcentral. Lineage: Eukaryota; Viridiplantae; Chlorophyta; Pedinophyceae; Pedinomonadales; Pedinomonadaceae.